UAGCGAACCCUAGCGCUCUCCGAUCCCUCCCACCUCCCCUCCCCUCGCCGCCACCCACCCCUCCCAUCGCUCUCCAAGAUCCAGCGUGCUCCAAGAUACCCACUCUCUGCUCCUCCCUCCCUCCCCUCCGGCAAGAUCCACCCCGCGGCCUUCCUCUCCUCAAUCCCCAAUACGGCUACAGAGAUGGCUGCUCCCGCGCCGGCCUUCUUCCUCACCCCUGAUGCCGCUGCUGUCUCCUCUCCGGUGAGUGCGGAGGAGCCACCGCGGUCGAGGCAGCCGCCGGCUGGAGCCCCGCCUCGUCUCCUCUCCGGUCGCCGUGGAGGUCCGCCGCGUCCAACCUCCUCGACGGCGCCCGGAACCCUAGGCGGCCCAUCUCUUCCAACCAUGGCCAUGGCCAUGGCGAGCCUGCAAGAUGUGCAGUAGCAGAUAUUGAUUUCCCAGCCCGCCUGACGGCCCGCUCUCCUCGCCCCCACGCAGAUCUUCGAGUACAACGGCUCCGCACCCUGCAGCCACCGGUUCGGGACGAGCGCAGCGCUGGUUCGGGUGUCCUGCGCCAACCAGAGCGCGCCCCAGGUGCUCGACAGAACGCCCACUGCACCGCCUGGUCUCAACUUUCUUUCCAUUUGCCAAGCUGAGGGAGAGGGCUAGGGGCUCGGGUGGUGGAGUGGCUGUAAGAAUAUGCUCGCUCCCUCCUCCCCUCAGAUCCACUAGCGUGUUGGUUGGAAUCAGUGGAUAUUCACAUGAUGUAUACACGGAACUGCAGCUUCACAUCUUUGUCCUGAAUCAUAAUGAGUAUCUUUUCUCGCCAUCGAUUUCUGCACGUAUGGUUCAGCUGGCAUGUCUAGAUCUACAUGUUCACCUGGCUUAUGGUGCAUCUCAAUCAUGGAUGAAAAAAUGUCAAAAUCCUAGCUUAUAGACACUGUACUAAUGUGGGUGGAUACAAUUUCAGAAGAUGAAACUUCAAUAAAAUGAAAAGGCAAAAUUAUAUUGAUUGUUGUCUUCCAUACUUUUCCUGAAUCAUAGUGCUGAACUUUUCUUUUGAUUUAUGUGUCUUUAUUUAAGUUAGCUCAUCAUGAGCUAUAGGUUCAGCUGGUUUGUUUGUUGGAUGCCAGGUCUUUCUCGUCAUUUUUGACAACCUUUUGAUUUGUAUCUUGAGCCACAUUUUCUACUUCUUGUCUUUUCAAUGUGAGAAUACCAGACACGAAAUGAUGCAUAUGCACUAUGAUACCUGGAUCACUUUAAAUUCAGGAUUAUUCAUGGCUAAUUCAGGAUUGAAGCAGGGGAAACCCCCCUCCUCCAUAUUGCCUGUUGAUUAUUUGGGGAUGUCUGUGGAGAGAGAUGCUGAUACUUCUAUAGGCCUAUCACUUUAAAUUUUAUUACAACCAGUUUUAUGCCUAGAACAAUCAUGGUGUCUAGUUUCCGCUUUAUGCCCCACGUUUUACUAGCUGCAAGCUCAGCUUUGUGCUCUGUAGGAACUAAGUACAUCAUUAUUUAGGCGUGUUCUGAUAAUUGUGAAGAAUAAAGGUGUCUUCUGAUGUGGUGGUGCCAAACAAAACUUUUAUGCUUAUGCUGAGCUUACUUUUAAUAUUGUGAACAUGACAAUUUAUAGGCUGUACUGAAGUUCCACUCCUUUUAUUCUGUGUGCUGAGCUUACCUUUGUAUGUCAGGAUUUUUUCUUCAUCUAUUACCCUUCCUUUGGCUGUAGUUUAUCUUCAUACAUAAACCAAUCUUGGUGUUCUUCCUACUUGCAUUUGAUUAUGUUUUUAAAAUUCCCUAGCACAACUAUAUACGACAAUGUGUUUUUUUUUCUGUUUUCAGUGUCUAUAGUGCAUUUGCAUGAUCUUGAAUUAUGUGCUACAGAAUAUAAUUAGCUGAUUUAAACUGCUGUUUUCCUUCGCCUAAUCAAAUGCCCUUUGUUUUCUCAGUAUGCAUACCCAAGUCAAGCUUGCGGUCAUGAUGAAGGUGCUGAUCUGGGUUUCCUAUCUUCAGAAGUAAAAUGUUUGCUUGCUACCUUCUUUAUGAUGAUGUACUUCAUUCGUGUUCCAUCGUGGGAUCCAGGACAAAGAAGUCGGGAGAAUCAUAGACUUCUAGCUCAUUGGAGCUAGUUAUACUUCGAUAGCUAGUUAUUUUUUUAUUCUUUAGUUGUGUUACCUGAUGCAGACUAUUUCUGAUUGUAAACCUGAUGUGAACCAUGUUUGAUCGCAAUGUGCCAGGUUUGGCUCUGUUUGAUUGUAUUCAUGAUUUGAACCAUGUUUUCAUGAUAUUUAGUUAUGCUCUGUUUGAAGCAUUGUGUAAA
Molecule: RNA transcript, 2296 nt
Organism: Triticum aestivum (bread wheat)
Lineage: Eukaryota; Viridiplantae; Streptophyta; Magnoliopsida; Poales; Poaceae
Exons: 4
Source: RefSeq, a predicted model, not a curated record